UACGAAGGGAGCUAGCGUUGUUCGGAAUCACUGGGCGUAAAGCGCACGUAGGCGGAUGUGUCAGUCAGGGGUGAAAUCCCGGAGCUCAACUUCGGAACUGCCCUUGAUACAGCACGUCUUGAGUCCGGAAGAGGUGGGUGGAAUUCCUAGUGUAGAGGUGAAAUUCGUAGAUAUUAGGAGGAACACCGGUGGCGAAGGCGGGUCUCUGGGCCGAUACUGACGCUGAGGAGCGAAAGCGUGGGGAGCAAACAGG
This 253-nucleotide ribosomal RNA is filed under the name uncultured bacterium. RNAcentral's name for it is "partial 16S ribosomal RNA". It matches the Rfam family "Bacterial small subunit ribosomal RNA", at positions 524 to 776 of the family's 1533-position model. The record is from RNAcentral.